CGGGCUACCAUGCAGUCGACGGUAACAGGAAGAGCUUGCUGCUUUGCUGACGAGUGGCGGACGGGUGAGUAAUGUCUGGGAAACUGCCUGAUGGAGGGGGAUAACUACUGGAAACGGUAGCUAAUACCGCAUAACGUCGCAAGACCAAAGAGGGGGACCUUCGGGCCUCUUGCCAUCGGAUGUGCCCAGAUGGGAUUAGCUAGUAGGUGGGGUAACGGCUCACCUAGGCGACGAUCCCUAGCUGGUCUGAGAGGAUGACCAGCCACACUGGAACUGAGACACGGUCCAGACUCCUACGGGAGGCAGCAGUGGGGAAUAUUGCACAAUGGGCGCAAGCCUGAUGCAGCCAUGCCGCGUGUAUGAAGAAGGCCUUCGGGUUGUAAAGUACUUUCAGCGGGGAGGAAGGGAGUAAAGUUAAUACCUUUGCUCAUUGACGUUACCCGCAGAAGAAGCACCGGCUAACUCCGUGCCAGCAGCCGCGGUAAUACGGAGGGUGCAAGCGUUAAUCGGAAUUACUGGGCGUAAAGCGCACGCAGGCGGUUUGUUAAGUCAGAUGUGAAAUCCCCGGGCUCAACCUGGGAACUGCAUCUGAUACUGGCAAGCUUGAGUCUCGUAGAGGGGGGUAGAAUUCCAGGUGUAGCGGUGAAAUGCGUAGAGAUCUGGAGGAAUACCGGUGGCGAAGGCGGCCCCCUG
RNAcentral lists this ribosomal RNA (693 nucleotides) under uncultured bacterium. RNAcentral's name for it is "bacterial SSU rRNA". It matches the Rfam family "Bacterial small subunit ribosomal RNA", at positions 43 to 731 of the family's 1533-position model. The record is from RNAcentral.